Molecule: ribosomal RNA, 256 nt
Filed under: Conopea minyrostrum
Lineage: Eukaryota; Metazoa; Arthropoda; Thecostraca; Balanomorpha; Balanidae
Description: partial small subunit ribosomal RNA
Source: RNAcentral
UUUAGAGGAACCUGCCCUGUAAACGAUGAGCCACGAUUAACUAAACUUUUAUUUGUAAUCAGUUUGUAUACCGCUGUUGUCAGUCAGUUUCUUUAGAAAACUUUCUCUCAUGAGGAUAAUCAUGGACUUCAAGUAAAGGUGCAGCUUAUGUAAAAGGUAGAGGUGGGUUACAUUUUUAGAUUAAUACGGAUAAAGUUUUUGAAAUUGCUUUUGAAGGUGGAUUUAAUUGUAAAGUUUAUAAAAACUUGAUGAGAGC